UCCGGUUGAUCCUGCCAGAGGUUACUGCUAUCGAGGUUCGACUAAGCCAUGCGAGUCGAAUGUAGCAAUACAUGGCGUACUGCUCAGUAACACGUGGACAACCUGCCCUUAGGUUGGGUAUAAACCCGGGAAACUGGGUAUAAUCCCCUAUAAGUCUCGGCUGCUGGAAUGCACCGAGAUUAAAAGCUCCGGCGCCUAAGGAUGGGUCUGCGGCCUAUCAGGUAGUAGUGGGUGUAGCGUACCUACUAGCCUACGACGGGUACGGGUUGUGAGAGCAAGAGCCCGGAGAUGGAUUCUGAGACACGAAUCCAGGCCCUACGGGGUGCAGCAGGCGCGAAAACUUUACAAUGCUGGCAACAGCGAUAAGGGAACCUCGAGUGCCAGGUUACAAAUCUGGCUGUCGAGAUGCCUAAAAAGCAUUUCAUAGCAAGGGCCGGGCAAGACCGGUGCCAGCCGCCGCGGUAACACCGGCGGCUCGAGUGGUAACCGUUAUUAUUGGGUCUAAAGGGUCUGUAGCCGGCCGGAUAAGUCUCUUGAGAAAUCUGGCAGCUUAACUGUCAGGCUUUCAGGAGAUACUGUCUGGCUCGAGGCCGGGAGAGGUGAGAGGUACUUCAGGGGUAGGGGUGAAAUCUUGUAAUCCUUGAAGGACCACCAGUGGCGAAGGCGUCUCACCAGAACGGACCUGACGGCAAGGGACGAAAGCUAGGGGCACGAACCGGGAUUAGAUACCCGGGUAGUCCUAGCCGUAAACGAUACUCGCUAGGUGUCGGCCACGGUGCGAC
Molecule: ribosomal RNA, 782 nt
Filed under: unidentified archaeon
Lineage: Archaea
Description: bacterial SSU rRNA
Rfam family: Archaeal small subunit ribosomal RNA
Source: RNAcentral